This 414-nucleotide ribosomal RNA is filed under the name uncultured prokaryote. RNAcentral's name for it is "bacterial SSU rRNA". It matches the Rfam family "Bacterial small subunit ribosomal RNA", at positions 355 to 786 of the family's 1533-position model. The record is from RNAcentral.
UGGGGAAUAUUGGACAAUGGGGGCAACCCUGAUCCAGCCAUGCCGCGUGCGUGAAGAAGGCCUUAGGGUUGUAAAGCGCUUUCAGCGGGGACGAUGAUGACGGUACCCGCAGAAGAAGCCCCGGCUAACUCCGUGCCAGCAGCCGCGGUAAGACGGAGGGUGCUAGCGUUGUUCGGAAUUACUGGGCGUAAAGGGCGCGUAGGCGGCCAGGGAAGUCGGAUGUGAAAGCCCGGGGCUCAACCUCGGAAUUGCAUUCGAAACUUCUUGGCUAGAGAACGGAAGAGGAGAGUGGAAUACCCAGUGUAGAGGUGAAAUUCGUAGAUAUUGGGUGGAACACCGGUGGCGAAAGCGGCUCUCUGGUCCGGUUCUGACGCUGAGGCGCGAAAGCGUGGGGAGCAAACAGGAUUAGAUACC